RNAcentral lists this ribosomal RNA (460 nucleotides) under uncultured bacterium. RNAcentral's name for it is "SSU rRNA". It matches the Rfam family "Bacterial small subunit ribosomal RNA", at positions 26 to 518 of the family's 1533-position model. The record is from RNAcentral.
AGAAUCAACGCUGGCGGCGUGCCUAACACAUGCAAGUCGAACGAGAAAGUGGUAGCAAUACCAUGAGUAAAGUGGCGCACGGGUGAGUAACACGUGACUAACCUACCCUUGAGUGGGGGAUAACUGAGGGAAACCUUAGCUAAUACCGCAUAAUACCCACGGGUCAAAGGAGCAAUUCGCUCGAGGAGGGGGUCGCGGCCGAUUAGUUAGUUGGCAGGGUAAUGGCCUACCAAGACGAUGAUCGGUAUCCGGCCUGAGAGGGCGCACGGACACACUGGAACUGAAACACGGUCCAGACUCCUACGGGAGGCAGCAGUGGGAAUUUUGCGCAAUGGGGGAAACCCUGACGCAGCAACGCCGCGUGGAGGAUGAAGUCCUUCGGGACGUAAACUCCUUUCGAUCGGGACGAUUAUGACGGUACCGGAAGAAGAAGCCCGGCUAACUUCGUGCCAGCAGCCGC